UCUUCCACAGCCUGAAGUAGAAUGAAGCAUACAUUAAACUAGAAGUACAUUUCCAGGUCAACAAUCCUAGCAAACAUGAAUAAAGAAGGUUUGAAUUAAGUCACCUCCUUUUUGCACAAUCUGCAUCGACUUCUUGAUUCCAUUUCACUGCUCCAAACCUUUGAAAAGUUGAUACUAUGUUUGGCAAAUCUCCUAUCAUCAGAAACAGAAGUUGAUAAAGAAAGCUCUCUUGAUUUGAUAAUGGAUUUGCUCCGGUUAUGAGAGUCUUUCCAAUCGGCUUCACUCCAAGCAAAACACACAUCUCUCUGGCUUGAAGGAAC
This 320-nucleotide long non-coding RNA is filed under the name Panax ginseng (ginseng). RNAcentral's name for it is "long non-coding RNA (PGIN_LNC000119)". Lineage: Eukaryota; Viridiplantae; Streptophyta; Magnoliopsida; Apiales; Araliaceae. The record is from RNAcentral.